UACGGGGGGGGCAAGCGUUGUUCGGAAUUACUGGGCGUAAAGGGCUCGUAGGUGGCCAACUAAGUCAGACGUGAAAUCCCUCGGCUUAACCGGGGAACUGCGUCUGAUACUGGAUGGCUUGAGUUCGGGAGAGGGAUGCGGAAUUCCAGGUGUAGCGGUGAAAUGCGUAGAUAUCGUAAGGAAGACCAGUGGCGAAGGCGGGUCUCUGGACAGUUCCUGACGCUGAAGCACGAAGGCCAGGGGAGCAAACGGG
RNAcentral lists this ribosomal RNA (253 nucleotides) under uncultured bacterium. RNAcentral's name for it is "partial 16S ribosomal RNA". It matches the Rfam family "Bacterial small subunit ribosomal RNA", at positions 524 to 776 of the family's 1533-position model. The record is from RNAcentral.